This 398-nucleotide unclassified non-coding RNA is filed under the name fungal sp. RNAcentral's name for it is "partial internal transcribed spacer region". The stretch from base 1 to 46 matches the Rfam family "Eukaryotic small subunit ribosomal RNA", at positions 1786 to 1831 of the family's 1831-position model. Lineage: Eukaryota; Fungi. The record is from RNAcentral.
AAGUCGUAACAAGGUUUCCGUAGGUGAACCUGCGGAAGGAUCAUUAAUACGUCUAAACAACGUUUUAAACCUUUCAAAUUUGUGGAAAUUCUUACCAUUCCGGGUGCAUCUCUUUGGCAUGAGAAGGGACUUCUUGUUAUGAGACACUUCAAGUGUAGAGCAGUGAGGUGAAAUCUGAGCUUUUGAUGGCUUGGAUUUGGUUCUGGAUCACGACUCUUUGGUGACAGAGAGUCAAAUGCUGAAUGCAUUCGGUCAUUACUGUUCUACAUUUUAUUCUAUCAAACAAACCCCAUGUACAACAACUUGAACUAAACAUCUCUUCUGAUCACAUUGACUUGUGUGAUGAAGAACAAAUCUGAAAUUAAGAACAACUCUUAACAACGGAUAUCUUGGUUCUC